GACUUCGUGGCGCAAAGGUAGCGCAUCUGAUUCCAGUCCAGAAGGUUAUCCGUUCGAAUCGGGUCGAGGUCA
This 72-nucleotide transfer RNA is filed under the name Biscogniauxia mediterranea. RNAcentral's name for it is "tRNA-Trp". It matches the Rfam family "tRNA". From Rfam's summary of the family: Transfer RNA (tRNA) molecules are approximately 80 nucleotides in length. Their secondary structure includes four short double-helical elements and three loops (D, anti-codon, and T loops). RNAcentral also lists the same sequence under 2 other names. The record is from RNAcentral. Lineage: Eukaryota; Fungi; Ascomycota; Sordariomycetes; Xylariales; Xylariaceae.